This 492-nucleotide ribosomal RNA is filed under the name uncultured bacterium. Its description in RNAcentral is "partial 16S ribosomal RNA". It matches the Rfam family "Bacterial small subunit ribosomal RNA", at positions 29 to 507 of the family's 1533-position model. The record is from RNAcentral.
AGUGAACGCUGGCGGUAGGCCUAACACAUGCAAGUCGAACGGCAGCACAGUAAGAGCUUGCUCUUACGGGUGGCGAGUGGCGGACGAGUGAGGAAUACAUCGGAAUCUACUUUUUCGUGGGGGAUAACGUAGGGAAACUUACGCUAAUACCGCAUACGAUCUACGGGUGAAAGCAGGGGAUCUUCGGACCUUGCGCGAUUGAUUGAGCCGAUGUCGGAUUAGCUAGUUGGCGGGGUAAAGGCCCACCAAGGCGACGAUCCGUAGCUGGUCUGAGAGGAUGAUCAGCCACACUGGAACUGAGACACGGUCCAGACUCCUACGGGAGGCAGCAGUGGGGAAUAUUGGACAAUGGGCGCAAGCCUGAUCCAGCCAUACCGCGUGGGUGAAGAAGGCCUUCGGGUUGUAAAGCCCUUUUGUUGGGAAAGAAAAGCAGCAGGUUAAUACCCCGCUGUUCUGACGGUACCCAAAGAAUAAGCACCGGCUAACUUCGUG